CAGCAGCCGCGGGAAUACGGAGGGUGCAAGCGUUAAUCGGAAUUACUGGGCGUAAAGCGCACGCAGGCGGUCUGACAAGUCAGAUGUGAAAUCCCCGGGCUUAACCUGGGAACUGCAUUUGAAACUGUCAGGCUGGAGUCUUGUAGAGGGGGGUAGAAUUCCAGGUGUAGCGGUGAAAUGCGUAGAGAUCUGGAGGAAUACCGGUGGCGAAGGCGGCCCCCUGGACAAAGACUGACGCUCAGGUGCGAAAGCGUGGGGAGCAAACAGGAUUAGAGACCCCAGUAGUCCCUGUCUUUAUACA
RNAcentral lists this ribosomal RNA (301 nucleotides) under uncultured bacterium. Its description in RNAcentral is "partial 16S ribosomal RNA". It matches the Rfam family "Bacterial small subunit ribosomal RNA", at positions 509 to 809 of the family's 1533-position model. The record is from RNAcentral.